UACGUAGGGUGCAAGCGUUGUCCGGAAUUAUUGGGCGUAAAGAGCUCGUAGGCGGUUCGAUAAGUCAGGUGUAAAAACUCCAGGCUCAACUUGGAGAGGCCACCUGAUACUGUCGUGACUAGAGUCCGGUAGAGGAGCACGGAAUUCCUGGUGUAGCGGUGAAAUGCGCAGAUAUCAGGAGGAACACCAGCGGCGAAGGCGGUGCUCUGGGCCGGAACUGACGCUGAGGAGCGAAAGCGUGGGGAGCGAACAGG
RNAcentral lists this ribosomal RNA (254 nucleotides) under uncultured bacterium. RNAcentral's name for it is "partial 16S ribosomal RNA". It matches the Rfam family "Bacterial small subunit ribosomal RNA", at positions 524 to 776 of the family's 1533-position model. The record is from RNAcentral.